CUCACCUGGAGGCGUGGCCAGAAGUCGUCCCGUCUCUUCUGAGCGCGCUCCAGGACGGCGGACGCUGCCGAGCACGAAGCCGCCGAGCGCCAUGACAUCACUGACAGCCGGUCGUCUGGGUGACAAAACGCUGUGUGGCGCUCAGCUCCAGGUCCUGGAGGCGUUUCCCUCCCAGCGAUUCUCUGAGUUUUUCCUCCACUGACUGACGACCUCCUACUGGACAUACUGGAGCCACCAGACAGAAACCAGUUCAGGCGCAGACCGGAAGGCGGGGCCAGACCCUGGAAGCUUCGGCGGUACUCCGUUUCCAUGGGAACGGGGUUCUUCUUAAAGGGCGGGAUGGACCUGCUGCUGGAGUGCAACACCUGCGAGAUGGG
Molecule: long non-coding RNA, 377 nt
Organism: Gambusia affinis (western mosquitofish)
Lineage: Eukaryota; Metazoa; Chordata; Actinopteri; Cyprinodontiformes; Poeciliidae
Exons: 4
Source: RefSeq, a predicted model, not a curated record